This 497-nucleotide ribosomal RNA is filed under the name uncultured bacterium. RNAcentral's name for it is "partial 16S ribosomal RNA". It matches the Rfam family "Bacterial small subunit ribosomal RNA", at positions 28 to 507 of the family's 1533-position model. The record is from RNAcentral.
GAUGAACGCUGGCGGCGUGCCUAAUACAUGCAAGUCGAGCGAACGGACGAGAAGCUUGCUUCUCUGAUGUUAGCGGCGGACGGGCGAGUAACACGUGGAUAACCUACCUAUAAGACUGGGAUAACUUCGGGAAACCGGAGCUAAUACCGGAUAAUAUUUUGAACCGCACGGUUCAAAAGUGAAAGACGGUCUUGCUGUCACUUAUAGAUGGAUCCGCGCUGCAUUAGCUAGUUGGUAAGGUAACGGCUUACCAAGGCAACGAUGCAUAGCCGACCUGAGAGGGUGAUCGGCCACACUGGAACUGAGACACGGUCCAGACCCCUACGGGAGGCAGCAGUAGGGAAUCUUCCGCAAUGGGCGAAAGCCUGACGGAGCAACGCCGCGUGAGUGAUGAAGGUCUUCGGAUCGUAAAACUCUGUUAUUAGGGAAGAACAUAUGUGUAAGUAACUGUGCACAUCUUGACGGUACCUAAUCAGAAAGCCACGGCUAACUACGUG